This is a long non-coding RNA of Lycium ferocissimum, 1485 nucleotides long. RefSeq lists it as uncharacterized. NCBI's taxonomy places the organism in Eukaryota, Viridiplantae, Streptophyta, Magnoliopsida, Solanales, Solanaceae. The transcript has 2 exons. The record is from RefSeq and is a predicted model, not a curated record.
AUUAUGAUGAUGAUGAUAAUGAGAAAACUCCUAGAAAAUGUUCUUGUUCAUCUUCUUACAAUGGUUCUAAUUCUAAACAUGAGAAUGUUCGUAAUUCUUAUGUUUGUUUUGUUAGAGGAGGUGGUGGUAGAUAUUUGACAAGAAAUUUGAGAUACAAUGUGAAUAAAUAUGGUACUUAUGAUAGAAAUGUUGUAUAUUGACCUAAUAAUGACUUUAAUGCUUUGAUUAAAUGAGAGCAUUUUGUUGAACAACAUGAGUGUGAUGAAGCAUGCAUUGACCAAUUUAUCCAAAAGAGAGAACACGUUUCAUGUUUAUUGUAAAAUUGAAGGACUAGUGGUGCCAUGAUUUAUACCUAACAAGAGUUCCAUAAAUACUGCUAGUUCAAGCAUGGUGAACACUUAAAUUGAAUACUAGGAAACAUCCUCAACCAUAGAGAUUGUCAUGGUCAAAUGAAAAAGAAAUUGUGGAGAUCACAAAACAAGUUUUGGUAAAGUUUCAAGUGGGUAAAUUUCAACAUGAAAGUACUAUGUGAUGUUAUCCCAAUGAAAGCUUGUCAUUUGUUAAUUGGAAGGCCUUGGACAAUUAAAAGGGAAGCUAUAUUUGAUAAAACGACUAACAAGUGUCACGUAAUUUUUAGAGGUCAAGAGUAUGUCUUUAUUUCAUAUACAUUUUUGAAGGUGAAAGAAAGAUACUUCGAAAUGCUAAAAUUGACAAGAAGAAAGACAAAGCUUAAGGAAAAAGAUAUCGUUGUUAAAGAGAAGACCAUGAAGAGAAAUUCAAUGACUCUCAAAGCGUAAAGUACAAGGUUGAAGUGAAGAGUCAUCCGAAUUAUUCAAAACGAAUUCUUGGGCCUUGUCCCCUUCAUAUGAUGUUGAGAGAGAAAAGAUUGAGAGGAGUAAGCGAGUGACAAGUGGCAACUCAAGAGUGGAAAAAAAGAGCUUGAGUUGCGGGUAAUGAGUGAGUUGUCACCAGAAAAAACAGAAGCAUUUGAAAAGAGAAAAAUGAAAUGAAAAGAGGAAAAGAAAAUUGAGAGAAGUGAAGAAAAAGAUAGUUUGAGAGAGCUUGCUUCCUGUUUUCAAUCUAAUGCUAAUCCUUAUUCUUCUCCUAGUUGUAAUGUCUCUUUUGUAGGUAAGUUUGAAAAUAAAGGCAUGAAGGAAGAAACAAUGGAAAGCCUUCUACUUUGAGGAUUAAAGAGUUGGCCGAUACACCUACUACUUCUUCAAGUUAGAUGGCGUAGCAACUUUUGAAGGCUACAAGAUAUAUUGUCAUCCACUAGGGGAUACAGUGUGGGAGGAAUAUUAUAAUGAGCUCACAAAUGAAAGUGAAGUAUUUGAUGGUGACAAUAGUAUUAGUUUUUUUACUUAUUCUUCUCCAUAUUUUGUAGACACAUUAUUGUUAGAUUAUGCCAUUAUUUCUUUUUCAAAAUGAGGUGACAAGUCAUUUAAAGAUCGGCAUGAUCUAUUUAAAGAACAUAAUUUUUUUCCA